Long non-coding RNA from Talpa occidentalis (Iberian mole), 618 nucleotides. RefSeq lists it as uncharacterized. The record is from RefSeq and is a predicted model, not a curated record. Lineage: Eukaryota; Metazoa; Chordata; Mammalia; Eulipotyphla; Talpidae. The transcript has 3 exons.
AUCUAGAAAGCUGACUACAGGACAAAGACUGCCAGGGCAGGAGGAGAAGGCCUAAGAACAAAGUAAGGAGGUUGCACAAUGAUGAUGGAUGCUUUGGUGGCAGGUGUGGUGUAGUAACAACAGCUGAAGAAGAUCCUGCCCAUCCGAAAACAAACUACAAGCAUCACAAUAGAAAGAUGAUAUCUUCUUGUUCUUAGAUUCCCCGGUGGUGUACACAGUGCUGGACUCUUUAAAGAGGAUUUUCAGAAGAUCUCUAAAAAUGGAAUCUAACUUAGCAGCCCAAUAUGUCAACUUCCCAAAGGAGGAACUUGAAACUGCGGCCACCUGCAUCCCGGCCACCUGCAUCCCGGCCACCUGCAUCCCAGGAGCUGGUUCUACCAGGGAGCUGGUUCUACCAGGGAGCUGGUUCUACUGGGGUUGCACUACUCCAGAUAAGCAGCCAUGAAAGAAAAAUAAGCUCCAAGAGAGAACAACUUCUUUGAAAAGCAACUUCACACCACCUCCCACCAAGGCCAGACCCAGUCCUAUAAAAGAUUACCCUCAUGCCCUGAGGGACAAGAUUUCUCCAACCCCUGCAGGGGUGGGUGAACUUCGCUGGGGCGCAAUAAACUUUUUGCC